RNAcentral lists this microRNA precursor (81 nucleotides) under Anopheles arabiensis. Its description in RNAcentral is "microRNA MIR397". The record is from RNAcentral. Lineage: Eukaryota; Metazoa; Arthropoda; Insecta; Diptera; Culicidae.
UUGACAGAUAAAAUCGAAUGCGGCGUCCGACGAAAUCAAAAAUUUUGAUUUCGUCGGACGCCGCAUCCGAUUUUAUCUGUC